This is a long non-coding RNA of Tripterygium wilfordii, 868 nucleotides long. RefSeq lists it as uncharacterized. The record is from RefSeq and is a predicted model, not a curated record. The transcript has 2 exons. Lineage: Eukaryota; Viridiplantae; Streptophyta; Magnoliopsida; Celastrales; Celastraceae.
AAUUCUCCCCAUUUUUGUUGAAUUCUUCAAGUUUCAUAAAAAUAUCUUGAAUUUCCUCUUUUUUGAUAUCUUACCAUUGUUUGGUUCAUAAAUUCAUUUGAGCUACUCUUUGUUUGUUCCAAAGAGGGCCAAGCCUCUAUUUUAUCCAUGUUAGUUGUCAAUUCUACAAUCGAUUAUUCUUUAUAUAUUAAACCUUGGAAAUGUCAAGUUUGAUUGACAUGUUUAAAAUGCUCUUCAUGAAAUGUAUGUGUAUGUGGACAUUGCACUCUUUUGUACAUUAUUAGUGGCAUGGUAGAUCACUGAGUAUGGACUUGGGUGGUUCACGUUAGGUGUUGGUGGAUUGGAGGUUACUAUGGUUUUUCAGCCAAAAGGGUGCUCCGUGAGAUCAGGACUCUUGUGUUGAAUAUAUGAGAUAGCCAGGUACUAGAGAACUGUGUGGCGGCUCUAGUGUGGCUUUAUGUGAUCGACUCGGUACUAGAGAACUGCGUGGCGGCUCUAGUGUGGCAUUAUGAGAUUGGCAUGGUAACAUUGUGAUAAUGAUUGAGGAGUCAUUGGAGGUGAGUUUGCUUUUGAGGUAGGUACUACAAAUCAGUAGGAAGAGGGGCGUGACCGUGGUGGCCUGACCGAGUGAUUAGCUUAUGUGUUGGACUUUGGAUGUCCUCUGUUAGUUUGGGAUUAUAUAUAUAUAUACAUUACGAGAUUGUUUUCGGAAUUUGUGUUGGAUGACCAGGAGGGUGCUCCGGAAUAUUGGGACUCCUGUGUCUGGUAGUUUGGUUGUGGUAGUGGACCCUGAGGGUCUUGACUGGAUUGAUUAUGAUUGUUUCUAGAUGUUAUUAAAUUAUUAUGAACUGGUUGAGUUUUCUGUAUA